CGUUUACACGACGGCUUGAUUUAGGGUCUUUAAAUUCGUUGGCAGGCAUCGGAGCUCUUCUCGUUCUUGACUUCGGCGAAGCGGUUCUGGGUGACGGGGAGAGGGAAGAUUGUGCUGAGGAGAGCUGGGAAGCAACAUCUGCUGGCGAAGAAGAACACCAAAAGGAAGUUGCGGUUGUCGAAGUUGGAUAUUGCAUGCUUUUGACAUUGGAUUGAAUUGAUCUUGGUUAGAGUUCCUUUACCGAUAUUUUUGCUGCCAUGAAGCUUUGAUAACACCACAUGCACAACCCCUUUUUGGUUCCCCCUUGGGUUGGCUUACUGUGGAUUAAUCUUGUUAUCUCUUAUCUAGAUGAGCAUUUGCUAGGAACAGUGUGGCUUUUGAUUUUGUGUGCUUGGUGUGUUUGCGCAUCAACAAUCAACAAGCAUGCCUAAGCUUGUAAGAGAAGUAGAAGCCAAAGAGAAAGAAGCAGAACAGCGACAACGAUUUGAGAUGCAAUCA
This is a long non-coding RNA of Eucalyptus grandis, 498 nucleotides long. RefSeq lists it as uncharacterized. The transcript has 3 exons. NCBI's taxonomy places the organism in Eukaryota, Viridiplantae, Streptophyta, Magnoliopsida, Myrtales, Myrtaceae. The record is from RefSeq and is a predicted model, not a curated record.